GUUUUCUCCAGAUUGACAGAA
RNAcentral lists this microRNA (21 nucleotides) under Marchantia polymorpha subsp. ruderalis. The record is from RNAcentral. Lineage: Eukaryota; Viridiplantae; Streptophyta; Marchantiopsida; Marchantiales; Marchantiaceae.